CCUACGGGAGGCAGCAGUGGGGAAUCUUGCGCAAUGGGCGAAAGCCUGACGCAGCCAUGCCGCGUGAAUGAUGAAGGUCUUAGGAUUGUAAAAUUCUUUCACCGGGGACGAUAAUGACGGUACCCCGGAGAAGAAGCCCCGGCUAACUUCGUGCCAGCAGCCGCGGUAAUACGAAGGGGGCUAGCGUUGCUCGGAAUUACUGGGCGUAAAGGGAGCGUAGGCGGAUAGUUUAGUCAGAGGUGAAAGCCCAGGGCUCAACCUUGGAAUUGCCUUUGAUACUGGCUAUCUUGAGUAUGGGAGAGGUUAGCGGAACUCCGAGUGUAGAGGUGAAAUUCGUAGAUAUUCGGAAGAACACCAGUGGCGAAGGCGGCUAACUGGCCCAUUACUGACGCUGAGGCUCGAAAGCGUGGGGAGCAAACAGGAUUAGAUACCCUGGUAGUCCACGCCGUAAACGAUGAGUGCUAGUUGUCGGCAUGCAUGCAUGUCGGUGACGCGAGCUACGACAUAAGUACACUCCGCCGUGGGAGGUACGGUCGCGAAGAAUUAAACUACAAGAAGUAGUAGACGNGAGAGACGCGACGACGACGACGACGGAGGAGGAG
This 602-nucleotide ribosomal RNA is filed under the name uncultured bacterium. RNAcentral's name for it is "bacterial SSU rRNA". The stretch from base 1 to 520 matches the Rfam family "Bacterial small subunit ribosomal RNA", at positions 338 to 873 of the family's 1533-position model. The record is from RNAcentral.